Molecule: ribosomal RNA, 427 nt
Filed under: uncultured bacterium
Lineage: Bacteria
Description: partial 16S ribosomal RNA
Rfam family: Bacterial small subunit ribosomal RNA
Source: RNAcentral
GUGGGGAAUAUUGCACAAUGGGCGAAAGCCUGAUGCAGCAACGCCGCGUGAGCGAUGAAGGCCUUUGGGUCGUAAAGCUCUGUCCUGGGGGAAGAAAAAAAUGACGGUACCCUAGGAGGAAGCCCCGGCUAACUACGUGCCAGCAGCCGCGGUAAUACGUAGGGGGCAAGCGUUAUCCGGAAUUAUUGGGCGUAAAGAGUGCGUAGGUGGUCUUGUAAGCGCGGGGUGAAAGGCUAUGGCUUAACCAUAGUAAGCCUUGCGAACUGUGAGACUUGAGUGCAGGAGAGGAAGGCGGAAUUCCUAGUGUAGCGGUGAAAUGCGUAGAUAUUAGGAGGAACACCAGUGGCGAAGGCGGCUCACUGGCUCGAUACUGACGCUGAGGUGCGAAAGCGUGGGGAGCAAACAGGAUUAGAUACCCUAGUAGUCC